AACGAACGCUGGCGGCAUGCCUAACACAUGCAAGUCGAACGAGACCUUCGGGUCUAGUGGCGCACGGGUGCGUAACGCGUGGGAAUCUGCCCUUCGGUUCGGAAUAACUCAGGGAAACUUGAGCUAAUACCGGAUAAUGACGUAAGUCCAAAGAUUUAUCGCCGAAGGAUGAGCCCGCGUAGGAUUAGCUUGUUGGUGGGGUAAUGGCCCACCAAGGCGACGAUCCUUAGCCGGUCUGAGAGGAUGAUCAGCCACACUGGGACUGAGACACGGCCCAGACUCCUACGGGAGGCAGCAGUGGGGAAUAUUGGACAAUGGGCGAAAGCCUGAUCCAGCAAUGCCGCGUGAGUGAUGAAGGCCUUAGGGUUGUAAAGCUCUUUUACCCGGGAUGAUAAUGACAGUACCGGGAGAAUAAGCUCCGGCUAACUCCGUG
Molecule: ribosomal RNA, 433 nt
Filed under: uncultured bacterium
Lineage: Bacteria
Description: bacterial SSU rRNA
Rfam family: Bacterial small subunit ribosomal RNA
Source: RNAcentral